Molecule: ribosomal RNA, 253 nt
Filed under: uncultured bacterium
Lineage: Bacteria
Description: partial 16S ribosomal RNA
Rfam family: Bacterial small subunit ribosomal RNA
Source: RNAcentral
UACGUAGGGGGCGAGCGUUGUCCGGAUUUAUUGGGCGUAAAGAGCUCGUAGGCGGCUCGUCGCGUCGUCCGUGAAAACCCGCGGCUUAACCGCGGGCUUGCGGUUGAUACGGGCGGGCUAGAGUUCGGUAGGGGAGACUGGAAUUCCUGGUGUAGCGGUGAAAUGCGCAGAUAUCAGGAGGAACACCGGUGGCGAAGGCGGGUCUCUGGGCCGAUACUGACGCUGAGGAGCGAAAGCGUGGGGAGCGAACAGG